This 254-nucleotide ribosomal RNA is filed under the name uncultured bacterium. Its description in RNAcentral is "partial 16S ribosomal RNA". It matches the Rfam family "Bacterial small subunit ribosomal RNA", at positions 524 to 776 of the family's 1533-position model. The record is from RNAcentral.
GACGUAGGGCGCGAGCGUUGUCCGGAUUUAUUGGGCGUAAAGAGCUCGUAGGCGGCUUGUCGCGUCAACUGUGAAAACCCGUGGCUCAACCAUGUGGUCUGCAGUCGAUACGGGCAGGCUAGAAUUCGGUAGGGGAGACUGGAAUUCCUGGUGUAGCGGUGAAAUGCGCAGAUAUCAGGAGGAACACCGGUGGCGAAGGCGGGUCUCUGGGCCGAAAUUGACGCUGAGGAGCGAAAGCGUGGGGAGCGAACAGG